Molecule: non-coding RNA, 120 nt
Filed under: Saimiri boliviensis boliviensis (Bolivian squirrel monkey)
Lineage: Eukaryota; Metazoa; Chordata; Mammalia; Primates; Cebidae
Source: RNAcentral
GGCUGGUCCAAAGGGAGUGAGUUUUCUCAACUGAUUGUUCACAAUCAGUUAUAGAUCAAACUCCUUGUUUCCAACUCCUUGUUCUACUCUUUCCCUCUCUCACUACUGCACUAGUCUAAA